AGGUAUACAACUAUAUCUGUUUCUACUAGAGGAUGCACUGUUCGGUGUUGUGCAACUUUUUGAUUACACAUCAGGUAAAACUAAGAAGAAGUGAGUCUGUGAGCUACCAAGCCAAGGCUGCUACAGAGAAGAGUGUAUGGCCCUCUCAACAUUUACCCAUUAAAGAGGAGAAGCAUUCUGUGCAUUUCAAAGCCCAUGCUUGUGCUCUUGCUAAGCCCUUUGUCUCAGUCCAUCCUUCCAGAUGUUUCCCAAACUUUUAGUGAGAGAUCUGAAGUAGAAGGCGUGCCUGAGCAAGUAAAGAGUUUGAGGGAAACUAUAUUGUGGAGAUUAAGUGGUUGUCACAGCAAGACAGUUGCAAACUGAGACUUGAACAUUUGAGAUCUCUAGCAUCCCAAUCAGGAGGUAAGUGCAUGAGAAAAUACUGCUUCUCUAGCUCAUGAUGUGGCUUGGCAAGAAUGCAGUGCAACUGUUCAGUCUGCUACUGACAGUGUACAGCAGUGUGCAAAUUCAAAGCCUGAGUAAUUCAGGUCCUGGCUGGAGCUAGAUUAUCAUUUUUGCAGUCACUAUGUAGUGUUGAAACAGUAAGUGGAGCCUGCAAGGCCUAUUUCAAAAAAUACCCCAAGGAGCAGUAGGAGGAACUUGGCUCUGUCUUCCAAACUGAUAGAGAUCUUACGUGGUAUUGGGCUUUAAUUUGUGGAAGAGACAAUUACAUACAGAUUAAAAAAAACAAAGACACUUUCCAAAGUGCACUCAAAGAUAUGAGUGCAUCAUUAUUAAUACCUCAGAUUUGCUGACUUGCCCAAUUUUUUUGUAUCAGUUUUGAAAGGGAAGUGUAAAAGGCAGUGCCGGUAAGAUAUAUUCUGACAGUGACUUUGGACUGAGUUCCAUGAUCAUGAUGAAUCCUGGGGGAGAGCAGACUUGUGCCUUUACUGUCUUGCACCCCUUAAGGCCUUAGCAGAGGCCAUUUACUAAACUACUGCCAUUUGCAGGCAAAUAGUCAGAAAGGGGCAGAGCUGUGUCUUAGGGACUCUUCUUGCUGGCCAGGUGUAAAGUUAGUAGAUAAGCUGCAAGAGCACAAGAGUGAAGCAUGGGGAGUUGGAGAGAUUUUGGGGUGGACUGGUUUAUUCUCUGGCCUGCUUAUAUAGUAGCACAGUCAUACACUUUUGGCUGCUCAUAGCAGAUUACUGGUAUUUAUCUGUCCUGCUGUCUCACAGUGCAGGAAGUACAUAACCAGAGAAGUGGAAACAAGAGAAGCGCCAUCAUUUAUAGACAUUUUCUUAUGUUUUAAGAGGGAGAAAGUUCUUACCAGUGUGAUAAUAGAUGCAUUUUUAUAUUAUAAAUAUUUUCACAGUGAAGACAGCUUUAACCCCUUUCUCACCUUACAAUGCACCAGAGAAAUCUAAGAAACAGAUUUCCUGUACUCAUUAUAUUCCACUAACUGUAACAUCCUAGAUGUAGGUAUCUGUAGGAAGCAAAAGAAACUAUUUGCUGGGAUAUAUGUGCUAACAGAAUUGAAUGACUUAAGUAUAUAAGGAAGAUAACAACAUGUUUUAAUAUAAAUAAAUACAGUGAUGUUUUCUAUUCUUUAUACAGUAGUUUAAGGCCUUUCAAAAUCUUGGUUCACCUUUAAAACUCCUCUGGCAGUGU
This is a long non-coding RNA of Dromaius novaehollandiae (emu), 1647 nucleotides long. RefSeq lists it as uncharacterized. NCBI's taxonomy places the organism in Eukaryota, Metazoa, Chordata, Aves, Casuariiformes, Dromaiidae. The transcript has 3 exons. The record is from RefSeq and is a predicted model, not a curated record.